Molecule: non-coding RNA, 69 nt
Organism: Ictidomys tridecemlineatus (thirteen-lined ground squirrel)
Lineage: Eukaryota; Metazoa; Chordata; Mammalia; Rodentia; Sciuridae
Source: Rfam
GGGGUUGUGGCUCAGUGGUAGAGCACUCACAUCUCAUGUAUGAGACCCUGGGUUCAAUCCUCAGCACCA